This 205-nucleotide long non-coding RNA is filed under the name Mytilus galloprovincialis (Mediterranean mussel). The record is from RNAcentral. Lineage: Eukaryota; Metazoa; Mollusca; Bivalvia; Mytilida; Mytilidae.
CUGUAAUUCAUUGGUUGUCGUUUGUUUAUGUGUUACAUAUUUGUUUUUCGUUCAUUUUUUUACAUAAAUAAGGCCGUUAGUUUUCUCGUUUGAACUGUUUUACAUUGUCUUAUCGGGGCCUAUUAUAGCUGACUGUGCGGUGUGGGCUUUGCUCAUUGUUGAAGGCCGUACGGUGACCUAUAGUUGUUGAUGUCUGUGUCAUUUU